Molecule: ribosomal RNA, 252 nt
Filed under: uncultured bacterium
Lineage: Bacteria
Description: partial 16S ribosomal RNA
Rfam family: Bacterial small subunit ribosomal RNA
Source: RNAcentral
UACGGAGGAUGCGAGCGUUAUCCGGGUUUAUUGGGUUUAAAGGGUGCGCAGGCGGCACGGCAAGCCGGCGGUCAAAUCGCGGGGCUCAACCCCGCCCAGCCGUCGGAACUGCCGGGCUAGAGUGGGCGAGAAGUGCGCGGAAUGCGUGGUGUAGCGGUGAAAUGCAUAGAUAUCACGCAGAACUCCGAUUGCGAAGGCAGCGCACCGGCGCCCUACUGACGCUCAGGCACGAAAGCGUGGGUAUCGAACAGG